AUCAGUGAAGCGAAUGCCCGCGGAAAGACCGGAAAAUGUGUCAAACCAGAAGAGUCUGAGUAGCGACAGUGGCUGCAGAAAGAGCGCUGAAGUUAUCUACUGUGGGAAGGACACGAGUUACCAGACGAACCAAUAAGAGCAGAAGCCCCCCAGAUGAUGAGCCGCUGCAGUCGGAUAAUGAAGUUGUAGAGAUUCAACAGAAAGCCACUGCUCCAACCAUGGAUAAGUUCCAGGAGGAUUUUAAAUUACUCAAAGAGGAAAACAGGCUUCUGAAAGAGGAGAACCGGCUUCUGAAAGAGGAGCAGGAUUUCCUUAGGGAGGAAGCUCUGAACCCAGUAAAGACCGUACCCUCAACAACUUAGAAAGGGUCCCACAAAAAGAAAGUUCUGGAUUCUUCAGACUCUUCAACAUCUGGCUCUGACUCUGACUCCUCAUCUGAAAGAGGGAAGAGGAAGAGAAAGCAGAAGAAAAACAAGAAAAACCAUGCAGCAUUUGGAAAAAGAGUUCAGAGUCCGGAGGACGUUGUGCACAGGUACCGUGCUGUCCUAAAAGAGUUUAGAUGGACAAGGAUCGUGAGCCUCAGCUGCAGAACACUGGACGUGGACUGGAACACAAUCGCAUUGACUGCUAUCAUUGCUGAAAUUGUGAUUGCUGCAGAAGGUGAAAACUUCGGGCCGCUGCCAGUGUUCAAGGAGGAGGACACUGUGAGCAAUUAUGCAAAAACCUGCAAGGCCUUCUUAGAGGGCAACAAACCUCUUAGGGAUAAAAUAAAAACAAUGAAAGAAGAUUCAGAGCUACUCCCCAUUAAAUAUAAAUUUAGAAAGUGAGAGGCCAUACUGCUGUCUUCAUUGUUAAUGGCCGGUUUUGCACUUUGUCAAAGGUUCUGUGUUUCUUUGAACCCGGUUUCUAUAGUUUCUAAUAGUUAUAUAUUUACAUGGUAAGAACGAUUUAAGUUUGUAAAUAUUUCUUUAUUUAAAUUCUUAGUGAAACCAUGUAAAAGAUGGGUUUCUUUUACAGUAUAUUUUCAGCUUACUUACUGAGUAAAAAGUGUUGUUUUACAUAGUAGCUGUAGUUACCCAAAAGGGGUGGAAAAUCUAUUGCAGAUUAUAGGGUAAGAUCCUGGUAAUAGCAUGGAAGUACAGGAAGGCUUCCUUUACAGUACAGUUUGACUUUACUUACUGAGAAUGUUUAGUGAGUUAAGUUGCAAAACACACAUGGUAAAAGUUUGUGAUUUCAUAAAUUUAUAACCAGUUGCAGAG
Long non-coding RNA from Micropterus dolomieu (smallmouth bass), 1259 nucleotides. RefSeq lists it as uncharacterized. Lineage: Eukaryota; Metazoa; Chordata; Actinopteri; Centrarchiformes; Centrarchidae. The record is from RefSeq and is a predicted model, not a curated record. The transcript is spliced from 5 exons.